Molecule: ribosomal RNA, 253 nt
Filed under: uncultured bacterium
Lineage: Bacteria
Description: partial 16S ribosomal RNA
Rfam family: Bacterial small subunit ribosomal RNA
Source: RNAcentral
UACGUAGGGUGCAAGCGUUAAUCGGAAUUACUGGGCGUAAAGCGUGCGCAGGCGGUUCUAUAAGACCGAUGUGAAAUCCCCGGGCUUAACCUGGGAACUGCAUUGGUGACUGCAUUGCUGGAGUAUGGCAGAGGGGGGUGGAAUUCCACGUGUAGCAGUGAAAUGCGUAGAGAUGUGGAGGAACACCGAUGGCGAAGGCAGCCCCCUGGGCCAAUACUGACGCUCAUGCACGAAAGCGUGGGGAGCAAACAGG